CCCUUAGAUGUUCUGGGCCACACGCGCGCUACACUGAUGAAUGCAACGAGCUCUACCCUUGACCGAAAGGCCCGGGUAAACUUGUGAAACUUCAUCGUGAUGGGGAUAGAUUAUUGCAAUUAUUAAUCUUCAACGAGGAAUUCCUAGUAAGCGCGAGUCAUCAGCUCGCGUUGAUUACGUCCCUGCCCUUUGUACACACCGCCCGUCGCUCCUACCGAUUGAAUGGUCCGGUGAAAUCUUCGGAUUGCUGACCAAGAUCCAGCAAUGGAGCUUGGUUGCGAGAAGUUGAUUAAACCUUAUUAUUUAGAGGAAGGAGAAGUCGUAACA
RNAcentral lists this ribosomal RNA (327 nucleotides) under uncultured eukaryote. Its description in RNAcentral is "partial 18S ribosomal RNA". It matches the Rfam family "Eukaryotic small subunit ribosomal RNA", at positions 1470 to 1796 of the family's 1831-position model. The record is from RNAcentral.